GUUUGUUUGUUUUUGUCUUUUAGGGCCCCACCUGCAGCAUAUGGAAGUUCCCAGGCUAGGGGUCUAAUUGGAACUGUAGCUGUCAGCCUACACCACAGUAACAUGGGAUCCAAGCCUCGUCUGCAACCUACACCACAGCUCACGGCAACACCAGAUCCUUAACCCACUGAAUGAGGCCACGAAUCGAACCCACAUCUCAGGGAUGCUAGUUGGGUUCGCUAACCACUGAGCCAUGAUGGGAACUCCCACAUUUGCAUUUUGAUUGAGUUAUAUGCAUACAUCUCCACUGUAGUUUUUGCAUGUGUAAUUUUUUUCCAUUUAAUCACUAAUUUGUUGAAUGCCUACUAUGUUCAGGAAAAUAGGGAUUCUCAUUAAGACAACAAUAUACAAGACAAGAAUACUACUUUAUGUUGCUUAUUCACAACAUUAUUCACUAUUAUUCUCCCUCAAAAUAUUUGUGCACUACAGUUUUCAAGGAUAUUUCCGUUCAAGGGACAGUAAGAUGCUAUUUGGCAUUUUAAUCACCUCCUUGAGCACUGCCAUUCUGGAACAUCUGUCUCACCAUUUGGCUAAUAUAUGCUGUGUCUUUUUUUUCCCCAAGAUUCAAAGUUACAGAAGCAUUUAGUUACUUCAUGAAGCCUCUUUGAUGGCUUAGGCAUGUUGAGAAAACAUUAAGUAAAGGGGAAGCAAGCUGUUCAUGAUAGGUCUUUUGAACAGUGAAAAAAAUAUUCAUAAAAAUGUAUGUGGCACUCUAAUAUAAAAGAAGCACAGAGUCCCUGGGAGUGUAGCUUUGGAAUGACCCUUAAAUGUCUCUCUUUCAACAUCUCACUCCAUGUUUCCUUCUCCAAGUACCCACAGCAGACCAUGAUCACUGCUUUUGUCCUUAAAAACUCAGGCACUUACUACCUUGAAACACUGUUCUGACCCUUAGAAACUUCUUCCCAUAGAUGAGUCAAAACGCCUCUUUUACUCCUUGGACUGCAGUUUCACCACUAGUUCGUCUUGGAACAAAUCUAAACUUCCUUACAAAUGGUGGCAUUCACAUGGUUAAAAGCAAACAAAGGUCUUUACAGUCACCUUAAUUUCAUUGCUUAAAAUCAUUUCCAAAUAAAGGCAAGUAAGAUAUUUAGAAACAGAGCCACAGUAGUUGUAGACAGCAAACCAAGGGGCUGUGAUCACGUGGGUGUGAGACCACAUCCAAAAUUAAAAAUUAAGCUGUGUGGUUUAAUGACUUUACAUUAGUAUCUUUAACUGAUGUUGAAUUUUAAAGAUGAAAUGGAUACUUUUAUUCGGUAAUUUCUGUGCCAUUCAACUUUCUAAGCAUUGGGGAUGUGAUGGUGAGGUCCUCAUUCUCAUGUAAGUUAUAUUUUAAAGGAAGAUAAGUAAAAUCAAGAAAAAAGAUAUGGUAGCAGAAGUGACCAUGAAUGUUGGAGUUGAGGGGGAACCAGUAUAAAUAGGGGAAAAACCUCUGGGGUGAUGUGUUGGAGUUAUAGCCUAAUUGUCAAGAAGAAGCCAUUCAAGAAUGAUCUUUGAGAAUAGAACUGUCCCUGAGAGGGAAUAGCUAUUGCAGAGGCUAGGAGUGGGGGUGGCUGAGCAAGGAACUCAAAGUAACUCACACACUAUUGUGAUGUGUGUGGAUUAUGACAAAGGUCAAGUUUGGAGGAGGUGGUAGGAAGAAAGAUUGGAGAUACAAGUAAAGACCAGAGCACAUGUUUCUAGAAAACUCUCCCAGAUCUUUUAUCUAAUAUAAGGACAAUACCAUAGAAAGGGUGAGUAAAGUAUGGGAGGUCACACAUCUAGGCAGUUGAUGAUUCAGAACUAUAAUUUCUCAUAUCACUUUGACCACUGAGUCCAUAGGCAGUUUGAGUGAACAGAGUUUUACACAGAAUAUAAGAUUGAGGUAUUGACAGAGGUCUCACAGAGAUCUGAGAUGUGGGCAUAAAAAGAAAAAUUCACCAGUGGAAUAAUUAAUUCCAUUGUUAACCUAAAUCCUAUGUUUCAAGUUUUCUUCCCACUGAGCUAGCAGGAAAUUCAUCUUGGUCACAGCUGAUGCUCUUUCCCCCACCCCCUAGAAUGUGCAGAUGUGCAGCUCAUGGAACCCUGCUCCCUCCCUCUAAAUCACUUAGUCUCUGAUCCAAGGUCCUAUAGCCUCUUAGGCUUUUCUGGGAGUGCAGUGCCCUCCCACAUGUCACCUGAGCGUGCCCACAUCCUGGCCUCCACUGGGCUCCAGGGGUGUAAGGUAAAGCCCUGCUGAGUCUCUGUCCUCCCAAAGCUCUCUCCUAAGCUUCCUCUAUCUCAAUAGUGUCUCAAAAUCUUUUCCUCAAUGAACUUUAAAUACUUUUUCCUUCCUAGGUGUGGGUAUGGAGAAAUACUAUCCUAAAUUCAGGGUUUUUUAUUUCUCCCCAAACCAAUACACAGUUGACACUUGGACAACAUGGGUUUCAACUGUACUGGUCCACUUACAAGCACAUUUAAAAAAUGGUAUGAUGUGAUCUGUGGUUAAGUUCGAAGGUGUAAACCAUGAAUAGGGAGGGCUGACGGUACAGCUGUACACAGAUUUUCAACUGCAUGGGGAGGGGUUGAUGCUCCAACCCCCACAUUAGUUCAACUGUACAUAUGAUCUCUCGAUCCACAGAGAAGUCCAUAAACCUAGAAUUUCUACUAAGACUUUUAAACUGUCUUGCCAGUCAUUUCAAACAUCACUUCUUGUAAUGUUAUCUUCAGGGUCUGCUCUGUUGUUUAAUUUUUUCCAUGUCUACAGGGCCUCCAGUGGUGUCCUGGACAUUCGGCAUGAGAUCCUGGGGACACAUCUCUGCACACUUAGAAAGGUUUGUCAGUAGGGGCAAGAGCCAGUCAUUUGACAUCAAAGUUCAUGUGACUUCAAUUCAGCUCAUGCCCUCCAUAGAUUAAUAUAGCUCCAGCCUACGGCUCACAUGAAGAGAUGAGUGUGGCUGCAGUCUAAUUUUCUUCUGCUAUUGAAAAGAGUCAUCAGUGUGAUGAAAGAGUAUUCCCAAGGGUUGAGCAAGUUUUAUGCCCAUGCACAUCUAUCCUGGAAUAGUUGGCCAAUGUUUUCCUUCACUCUAGCCCAUGAAACUCAAGGGAGAAAAGAUUUUUCCCUUAAUGACCCCACCUUCAAUAUAUGUAUUUCAUACAGACUGGGAAUCCUAGCUAGCUCUCUUCCAUGUUAAAAAAAAAAUGACCAUGAAUAUAAAUGCACCCAACCUGAUUACCAAGAAGGAAAUGACUUCAUUUAACAUAACUGAUUAAGGAUUUGAUAUUGAUUAGGUUUUCCCUUACAGAACUUUAUUUGUGCCAAUGUUGGCAUACUGAAGCUUAAGCAAGGUGAUAUCUCGGGAAAGAAAACCUUAAAGCUCUGCUUUACCUAUUUUUAAAGUGUAGUUGAUUUAUAGUAUUGUACCAAUUUCUGCUAUACAGCAAAAUGACUCAGUUAUACAUACAUAUACUCUUAAUAUUCUUUUCCAUCAUAGUCUAUCUCAGGAGACUGUAUAUAUUCCCUGUGCUGUACAGCAGGACCUCAUUGCUUAUGCAUUUUAAAUGUCAUAGUUUGCAUCUACUAACCCCAAGCUCCCAGGCCAUCCCAUUCCCUCCCCCAUACCCACUUGGCAACCACAAGUCUGUUCUCUGAGUCUGUUUCUGUUCUAUAGAUAGAUUCAUUUGUGCCACAUUUUAGAUUCCACAUAUAAGUGAUACAUGGUAUUUGUCCUUUAGAAUAUUUAAAAUUUAAAUACUAACAGUUAACAAUUUCUAUGAAACUAUUUAAAAGUAAACAAGAAUAACAUGAAAUGCUCAGAUUCAGAAUUAAGAAAAUACAUUUCACUGUUUACUUUUUUGCAUGAAAUUCGACUCCCUCUUGGCAGUGUUCUAAUCUGCUCAUUUUCUGAAUUUUAAUCACAAGUGGACCAGGGUUAUGGCAGGAUACUGCUCAGCUCAUGUGGUGAGUGUGUAAUUCAGUUCAGACCAAAUACUGUUUAGUAAAGAGGAUUCCUUGACCAUGCUACAGAGACCUGGCUCUAAUGUGGCCACUUUCCUCAGUCAUUUUAGAAAAGUUAUUUCCUUCUUUGGAAAGAGUAAGAUAAGGCUUGAAAUUGCGUACAAAGCAGGGAUCUCCUCUUCAAUUUCCCUGUCACAUAAUCUAGAGAUUCAAGGUUUCUGCUUUGGAGAAAUUUCCUGUUCUCUGAGAAAAUGUCUCUACACUUGGGAAAUUCCACUACACCUGGGAAUUUCCACAAGGAUAGCAAGAGCUCCCUACAGAUACUCUUAUGGUGAAACCCCCAAAACAGCAAACAGGCAAUGCAACUAUAUAGGAAUGAUGUGUGGAAAAAUGCCAGGAAAUAAUGGAAAUCAACCUAAAAUUGAUAGAGCACAAAACAGGAGUAUACACAUGCUGUUAAUAAAUGAAACCCUCACUAAUUAUUAAAGAAAUGCAAAUCAAAACUACUAUGAGGUACCAUCUCACACCAGUCAGAAUGGCCAUCAUUAACAAGUCAACAAAUAACAAAUGCUAGAGAGGAUGUGGACAAAAAGAUACCUUCUUCACUGUUGGUGGGAAUGUAAAUAGGUACAACCACUAUGGAAAACAGCAUGUAGGUACCUCAGGAAAAUAAAUAUAGAGUUACCAUAUGAUCCAGCAAUUCCACUGCUGGGCAAAACUUUUGUUGUGAAAGAUAAAUGCACCCCUAUGUUCAUAGCAGCACUAUUCACAGUAGCCAAGACAUAGAAACAACCUAAAUGUUCAUUGACAGAUGAAUGGAUUAAGAAGGUGUGCUACAUAUAUAAAAUGAAAUAUUAGCCACAGAAAAGACAAACUAAUGCCAUUUGCAGCAACAUGGAUGGAUCUAGAGACUCUCAAACUAAGUGAAGUCAGUCAGAGAGAGAGAGACAAAUACCAUAUGAUAUCACUUAUUUGUGAAAUCUAAAGUAUGGAACAGAAGAUUCUAUCUAAAAAUAACAAAAAACAGAAACAGAUCAUGGCUAAGAAGAGCAGACUUGGGGUUCCCAAGGGGGAAAGGGGAGGGGAUGGAUGGGCAUUUGGGUUUUGUUUUUUCUUUUUUGGAUGCAAACUGUUUUAUUGAGAAUGGAUGGGCAAUGGGAUCCUACUGUACAGCACAGGGAAAUGUGUGUGAUUGGGUCACUUUGUUGUACAACAGAACUUGAUGAAACAUAAAUCAACUAUACUUUAAUAAUAAAAAAAAUAA
RNAcentral lists this long non-coding RNA (5216 nucleotides) under Sus scrofa (pig). Its description in RNAcentral is "lncRNA (ENSSSCG00040063270.1)". Lineage: Eukaryota; Metazoa; Chordata; Mammalia; Artiodactyla; Suidae. The record is from RNAcentral.